Long non-coding RNA from Cephus cinctus (wheat stem sawfly), 2348 nucleotides. RefSeq lists it as uncharacterized. The record is from RefSeq and is a predicted model, not a curated record. Lineage: Eukaryota; Metazoa; Arthropoda; Insecta; Hymenoptera; Cephidae. The transcript is spliced from 4 exons.
UGGAAAUUCUUCAACUACGUCGUCGCGUUCUUGAAAUUUCAAGAAGUUGGGUUUUCGAAAUUCCUCGAUGGUCAGAAUAAAUAUUCCAUUUAUUUUCUUCGACGUACCUAUCUUCGGGGUCUCUACAUUCGGAUUAUUAGCAAGUCCUGAAAUACCUGUUUAUGGGCUUUUCCUAUUUACAGAGUCUUUCUUUGAAAAAAAAAGAGAGAACCUUCGGUUCGGUUUGUGUUUCUAACAAUAACUUUGGAAUUUAGCUUGGCUGCCUGCGGGAUUGUUUCUUCAUUUUUUCAUAGAAUCUUUCCACUUCGACAACGUAACGUACCAAAGAAAAAUUGCAUUGGCCAAUAGUCAGACUUUCUUGAAGAUUUUGCCAUCCCUUUAUUCUUCAGACUUUCCUCCUUUACAGAAAAUCCUACUCGAACUUUGAUUCCAGUAAAGCUUCUUAUCUUAUAUUACAAUGGAGAUAGAUGCUCUAUCUGCUGUCAGCGUUAUCAUCGGAUCGUCCAAUAAAUAUUAAAUCCUCACUGAUGAUAUUUGUUAUAACGACACCUGACUUUAGCUGUUUCUUGCGAUAGAUCGGCAUUGCAAUCUCCGUUGUAAGAAAAUACUCAAACUUUUUUUAUACUCCGUUGCUAAUACAUAGAUACAAAUAUAGAAAAGUCACGUGACAUACUUUAGUUUUUUUUUGACUUCCUCCCUGCCCUCUUAAAACACGAUCUCUGCGCGUGAGUAACAUUGUUUGAUUCAAAUGUCAAGAAUGAAUUCAACGCUGUAUGGAAAAGACACGUGGACGAUAACCUGUAUCAAUAUUUGAAGUGCGAUCUAUGCCGAUAAUGAUGUUGAUUGUCAGUGAUCGACUGCUGGUUAUUUAUCCAAAAUAUUCCAUUGAGAUGUGUUAUUUCAGUUAGCGAUAGAAUUGACAUAUGGAGGUGAAGGUUUUGAAUUUUGAAUAAUAAUGAAAAAAUAAUAAUAAUAAUUCAGGCCAAAAUUGUUAUUGUGGAGGAGUGGAGGAGGCAGGGAAGAAAGAAGGGACUUUCGUAAUAGCAGCAAUCAUACAGCGAAGAGUUGUAAUCCGACUGGCAUGGAUGUACCCUGUGCUAACGAAACACCUGAAUUACCGCCGACGUCAACAUCGCUUAAGACAAAGAGACGCGUUCAUAAAAGAGACGGCUCGUGAGUGUUGCGCACGUUAGGAAAGUUACCAAAUGAAUUCGAAUAACCUGACAGUAACAAAAGUAAACACAGUGUUUAGUCUCGUUGGCUUUAAAGCUUUCGUAUUAGUAAAGAGAAACAGAUAGAGCGAGCGAAAGAAAAAAUUCCUAUUGAUCGAGCGUGAGCAUCAAGGCGUACUGGUCGUAGAAAAUAGAAGCGGGUACGUCAGUAGGUAACCUAAAAUUCCACGAUUACGCAGUAUAACGAUUCUAUUAAAAGAAAACUUUAAAAAGGGGUUAGAACCGGUAUCAGACCAUGGCCAUCGACCGUAUUGCCCUCUUGUUCUGUCGUUAUACAAAAAUUUUAAGUUAGCCAAGCGUGUAUGUCAUCAUUCCUAUAACCUCAAAAAGCAAAGCAGGACAAACAUUUGCUUGUAUCACGAAACUGAGCCUCCGUUGCAAACGUCUUGCUACUAAUUAUGCAAAUAAUAUCCUGAAGGAUAUGCUCUUGCAAAUGGUGGUCUGACCUGAGUUUCUCACUGAGCCGUCACUAAGAGAAUGUUCGUUACGAUCAACAAGGAAGCACGUGACACAAUAUAACGAAGCACGAAAGACGGUGUACAAUGAAAGCAACGAGACUUUUCGAAAAACACCAAGAAAACAAUUGUGAGAAUUAUAUGAAUAUACGUGUCACAAAAGAUUCUCCCGAGGUUGUCAAAACACUGCAUAUCUGACACUUCGGCGAUGUCGGCAAGGCUGGGAUUCUCAGCUCUGCGUCUUGUUCGAUUCAUGGCAAAGAGGCAAUAUGAAGAGAGACCUACUUUUUAAGGGCAACGACUUGAAGUAGGACAUAAAUACAUACGUGUUUACGAGCUGAGAUUCGGCCAUGUUGAUCCGCUUCGUCUGGUUAGAGUCUGCGUGCUGAAACGACGAUGGUAGCAGUGUGGACUGAAGCUAAUACUUCCAACAAGUUCUCGCUGCUUUCACGACUCAGCCGGUGUGCUAUCGACAAUACAGACAUACUACAAAUACUUCAGUAUAUAUGAACGUAAAGGCCAGCGCAUAUAAAGAGGAUGUAUGUAUGUACAAUCUAUGGUAGUCCUCCUGGGUCACGUGAGAAUCUCACCGAACGCACUUCGUUUGCCAACGAUGUCUGUAUUGUUUCAAUGCAACUGGGCCGACAUAUUCUAUAUACUG